AAUAUCACCUGGUACCCAUAGGAAAUAUCAUGGGACUAAAACAACGUUUGACAGAGGACAUUAAUUUUGGACUGGUUUUUGAACCAGCAUGGAAGUAACUUGUUCAGUAGUACCAACUUGCUCCAGGAUAAUAAUCAAAAAGCCAAAGAUCAUGGAUUACUUGCCAGUCUGAAGGGGAAAAUCUAGUUGACAGCUUAAAUUGCUAAAUAUUAGGAGAAUGAGAAAACACAUACAAAGAAAUUUAGCAACAGAGAUAUUCCGGGUAACAGAUUUUUGGUGCUCGAAUCUCUGACCAAAUAGUAAAAAAAUAGUUAAAUAUUUGAAUCAGAAACUGUUGAAAAAGUUCAAUGUGAUUUUUCCAAAAUCCCUGAAAAUGGAAAUAUAAAUCUGUGAAUGUUGCAAGAAAACUUUGAGGGCUGAAGUACGACAUAAGAAAGGAACAUGGCUCUGAAAGACAUCAUAUUUGAAAUGAUAGUCUUCAAAGUUUGUGGUUACAGAGUAGAUUCCACCAUCAACAGCAUGUGUGUCUUGUUGAGCACUUCACCACUAUGAGAGGGUUCCAAGACUUCCCGGUGGUUCAAUCUGUCUCAGUGGAUGUAACAAUCUGAGCAAAAAUGUUUGUGUGUGCAGCAUGUUUCAAUGCAUCCACCAAUUCUAUGAUACCUUUUGGAAGAACACCAUUCGGGCUGCACUGAGCAAGGAGAAUCCUCUAGGCGAACAGUAUAUACUAUACAGAAUGUUCAGGAAUGAAAUUUAUUGUGGUUGAUCUGUCAGUGGACAAGAUUUUUUGCUUCAGUAUUAAAUUUUAGAUAAGGGGAGGCUCUGAAGCAAAGUAGACAGGAGGUUUCUUCAAAGCUCACAAUAUCCCAGUUCACAAGAAACAUGCCAAAAGGAUUUCACUAUUCCCUAUCAUAGUGAAUUGGAAGAGGAUUCGACUGAGGCUUGGUGCCAAACAAAAGAUAAUAGUUGAUAGCGCGAUCGGAAAUUUCUACGAUUUAUUUAUAUCCUCCUUUUCUAUGGUAUUCUUGUAAAAGACAAAAUUGAAGUGCAUAUCUGGGCUCCCUUCUUUUCUGUGGCCCCGUUUCCCCUUGA
RNAcentral lists this long non-coding RNA (1092 nucleotides) under Daphnia magna. RNAcentral's name for it is "uncharacterized LOC116915563, transcript variant X2". Lineage: Eukaryota; Metazoa; Arthropoda; Branchiopoda; Diplostraca; Daphniidae. The record is from RNAcentral.